RNAcentral lists this transfer RNA (68 nucleotides) under Marmota monax (woodchuck). Its description in RNAcentral is "tRNA.Ala". The record is from RNAcentral. Lineage: Eukaryota; Metazoa; Chordata; Mammalia; Rodentia; Sciuridae.
GGUUUGUGGCUUAGUGGUAGCGUGCUUGCGUGGCAUGCAUGAGGCACUGGGUUCGAUUCUCAGCACCA